RNAcentral lists this long non-coding RNA (207 nucleotides) under Carica papaya (papaya). RNAcentral describes it as "long non-coding RNA (CPAP_LNC004283)". Lineage: Eukaryota; Viridiplantae; Streptophyta; Magnoliopsida; Brassicales; Caricaceae. The record is from RNAcentral.
CUCUCUAUUUAUUUUUAUUGAUUUAUAUCCUAUUAACAAUAGUUUUAUCGUGAGAUGCCAUUUUUGCCGGUAUCAACGAGAGCAGUAAAGAUCCCCUCUACGAUGUGAAUACGUUAUAAUUCAGUUCAUAGUUUACAAUUUGCAAUAUACAGUAUUCAGUUUACAGUUUCACAAUACUUAUCACUUCGCGAUGUCUAGCUAAAGUCG